This 497-nucleotide ribosomal RNA is filed under the name uncultured bacterium. RNAcentral describes it as "partial 16S ribosomal RNA". It matches the Rfam family "Bacterial small subunit ribosomal RNA", at positions 28 to 507 of the family's 1533-position model. The record is from RNAcentral.
GAUGAACGCUGGCGGCGUGCCUAAUACAUGCAAGUCGAGCGAACAGACGAGGAGCUUGCUCCUCUGACGUUAGCGGCGGACGGGUGAGUAACACGUGGAUAACCUACCUAUAAGACUGGGAUAACUUCGGGAAACCGGAGCCAAUACCGGAGAAUAUAUUGAACCGCAUGGUUCAAUAGUGAAAGACGGUUUUGCUGUCACUUAUAGCUGGAUCCGCGCCGCAUUAGCUAGUUGGUAAGGUAACGGCUUACCAAGGCAACGAUGCGUAGCCGACCUGAGAGGGUGAUCGGCCACACUGGAACUGAGACACGGUCCAGACUCCUACGGGAGGCAGCAGUAGGGAAUCUUCCGCAAUGGGCGAAAGCCUGACGGAGCAACGCCGCGUGAGUGAUGAAGGUCUUCGGAUCGUAAAACUCUGUUAUUAGGGAAGAACAAAUGUGUAAGUAACUAUGCACGUCUUGACGGUACCUAAUCAGAAAGCCCCGGCUAACUACGUG